Long non-coding RNA from Oncorhynchus keta (chum salmon), 3978 nucleotides. RefSeq lists it as uncharacterized. The transcript has 3 exons. The record is from RefSeq and is a predicted model, not a curated record. NCBI's taxonomy places the organism in Eukaryota, Metazoa, Chordata, Actinopteri, Salmoniformes, Salmonidae.
AAAUAACCCGUCGUGCACUCACGGGGAACGUGCACAAGCACUACAAUAAACAAUCCCACACAAAGACAUGGGGGAAACAGAGGAUUAAAUACACAACAAGUACAUGAGGGAAUUGAAAUCAGGUGUGUGGAAAAACAAGACAAAACAAAUGGAAAAUGAAAAGUGGAUCGACAAUGGCUAGAAGACCAGCGACGCAGAGCGCCGCCCGAACAAGGAGAGGACCCGACUUCGGCGGAAGUCGCAACAAUGAGACAAUAUACAAAUGUUUUUGAGAAAGAUAAUUUGAAAAAUAAAAUGUUGUUGAGUAAAUUAAAGGUUAUUUGUUGAUGUAAAUAUCAAAAUGUAGUGAUUUUAAGUUUGUGUCAUUAUAUUUGGGGUAGGGUGGGGUUGCAAGAAAUUCUUGCGAAUAAAAAUUGGGUUCCACUGGUGUGGGUCAUUUAACUCUGGAGGUGACAAGGUUUGCAAAUUCAAAUAUACAUUUCCCAAGUUUGUUUGGAGAGCUAUGGUAUAUAAACAUGAUUCAUUAAUUUCAGUUUAUAUGGAGACAAUGUUUUAUCAAGCAAUGAUACCCAGCUGUUAACUUAAACAAAGUAGUGUAUUGUACUUCUGUCUGAGCUCACGUCUUUAGAUUAGAUGACUAGCGGCAGAGCCCAAAGAGUUAAAGAAACAUCCUGUGUCAUCUGUGAUGUCAGCUGCAGGUUAACCUAUGGUAGGUUAACCUAACCUAUUGAUCAUUAAAAAAAACAUUCGCAAUUAUGUUAGCACAGCUGAAAACUGUUGUUAGGAUUAAAGAAGCAAUUAAACUGUCCUUCUUUAGACUGUUGAGUAUCUGGAGCAUCAGUAUUUGUGGGUUCGCAAAACACCAGUCUCAACAUCAACAGUGAAGAGGGGACUCAGGAAUGAUGGCCUUCUAGGCAGAGUUGCAAAGAAAAAGCCAUAUCUCAGACUGGCCAAUAAAAAGAAAAGAUUAAGAUGGGAAAAAGAACACAGACACUGGACAGAGGAACUCUGCCUAGAAGGCCAGCAUCCCGGAGUCGCCUCUUCACUGUUGACGUUGAGACUGGUGUUUUGCAGUUAAUGAAGCUGCUAGUUGAGGACUUAUGAGCCGUCUGUUUCUUAAACUAGACACUCUAAUGUACUUGUCCUCUUGCUCAGUUGUGCACCGGGGCCUCCCACUCCUCUUUCUAUUCUGGUUAGAGACAGUUUGCGCUGUUCUGUGAAGGGAGUAGUACACAGCAGUGGCAAUUUCUCGCAUGGAAUAGCCUUAAUUUCUCAGAACAACAAUAGACUGACGAGUUUCAGAAUACAUUUUCUGUUUCUGCCCAUUUUGAGUCUGUAAUCAAAUCCACAACUCCUGAUGCUCCAGAUACUCAACUAGUCUAAAGAAGGACAGUUUAGUUGCUUCUUUAAUCAGCACAACAGUUGUGAUAACAUAAUUGGAAAAGGGUUUUCUAAUGAUCAAUUAUAAACUUGGAUUAGCUAACACAAUGUGCCAUUGGAACACAGGAGUGAUGGUUGCUGAUAAUGGGCCUCUGUACGCCUAUGUAGAUAUUCCAUAACAAAUCUGCCGUUUCCAGCUACAAUAGUAUUUUUAAAAUCAAUUUGAUGUCAUUUUAAAGUGCUUUUCUUUCAAAAACAAGGACAUUUCUAAGUGACCCCAAACUUUUGAACGGUUCGUAGAUAUAUAUAUAUAUUAUUUUACAAAUAUUUGAUAAAAUAUGGAAUUUUGCUUUUACUACUAUAGCCCAGAGAAACGCAUUCAAUAACACAUUCAUAAACACACAUUUACCCCUUUUGUGGGAAGGCACAAAACUACCUUCAUACUUCCAUUAAUUUUGUUAAACAGGUACUAGUUACCUUCAGACAAUGUGCCAACUUUGUGUUUGUGACAAACAGUUUGCCCAAACAGUUUGGACUCUACAAACAGAAGUGGCACAUCGAUGGUACCGACUUCAGAAGAAUCCCCUGACACUCGAGUCUCCCCUUUCCAUAGAGUGACCACUUUAUGCUGAUGUUUACUGUAUUUUGGCAGUUACCUGUGUCCUGAGACCCCUGCAAGUAAACUGGAUAGACACAGGCUGGAAUUCAAUCAUCACCUGUAUUUGUGAUUUAAAGGGAGAUGUAUAGGUAGGAUGCUACCAGUUGUUAUUUUCUCUGUGAGUACAGUAUGUGAGCUGGCAUGAGCCACUGUUUAUGGUCCUAGUGCUCUGUCUGUUAUUCAUACAUACAGUGAGAUGAACUCUGCAGAGGGGAGGCAACAAACUGGGCUUAAAGAGAUAGCUAUAGAGAGAGAGAGAGAGAGAAAUCAUGCCUCAUCUAAUCUCCAUGACAUUACAUAAGCAUUUUUAUAAUGUUUUAUUCACUCCACACUGCGCUGGGUGACUAAGUGGUUGUACUUAGUGAUCGUGACCGGUUUUCUGGCCUAUUAUUUUUAGGAUUGCAUACGGGUAAUAUUGAAUACCUUCCAGUUACUACCUUCUAGUUACACUUAUUCCAGUUCUAGUGGACCACAGUGGUUAGUGACAGUUUCUCAUUGAAUGUGCGUUACUUCCCUUAAUCAGUAGACCACUAAUCAUGUGGAUUGAUUGAUCAAGACAGACUAUGAAAGAAAUACACAUCAAAUAUUUAUUUUUGUCAAAUUUACAUUACAGUUGUAUAAAUUACAAAAUUACCUUCACAAAUAAGUAACUUUUAUCAAAUAGCAUCUGAGAAAAAUUGUGUGAGUAAAAGUGCCUUUUAUCAUUUUUUUAAAGUCAAGUGAAGCAACAGAAAAACAACAGCCAUAAAACAUUGUACUCCUCCAAUGGUUGAAUCUCAGGAGAAUCAAGCUAGCAUCAUGUAGUCAUCCAAAGGUUGAAUCUCAGGAGAAUCAAGCUAGCAUCAUGUAGUCAUCCAAAGGCUGAAUCUCAGGAGAAUCAAGCUAGCGUCAUGUAGUCAUCCAAAGGUUGAAUCUCAGGAGAAUCAAGCUAGCAUCAUGUAGUCAUCGAAAGGUUGAAUCCCAGGAGACUCAAGCUAGCAUCAUGUAGUCCUCCAAAGGUUGAAUCUCAGGAGAAUCAAGCUAGCGUCAUGUAGUCCUCCAAAGGUUGAAUCCCAGGUGAAUCAAGCUAGCAUCAUGUAGUCCUCCAAAGGUUGAAUGCCAGGAGAAUCAAGCUAGCAUCAUGUUGUCAUCCAAAGGUUGAAUCUCAGGAGAAUUAAGCUAGCAUCAUGUAGUCAUCCAAAGGUUGAAUCUCAGGAGAAUCAAGCUAGCAUCAUGUAGUCCUCCAAAGGUUGAAUCCCAGGAGAAUUAAGCUAGCAUCAUGUAGUCAUCCAAAGGUUGAAUCCCAGGAGAAUCAAGCUAGCAUCAUGUAGUCCUCCAAAGGUUGAAUCCCAGGAGAAUUAAGCUAGCAUCAUGUAGUCAUCCAAAGGUUGAAUCUCAGGAGAAUUAAGCUAGCAUCAUGUAGUCAUCGAAAGGUUGAAUCCCAGGAGAAUUAAGCUAGCAUCAUGUAGUCAUCCAAAGGUUGAAUCUCAGGAGAAUCAAGCUAGCAUCAUGUAGUCAUCCAAAGGUUGAAUCUCAGGAGAAUCAAGCUAGCGUCAUGUAGUCAUCCAAAGGUUGAAUCCCAGGAGACUCAAGCUAGCAUCAUGUAGUCCUCCAAAGGUUGAAUCUCAGGAGAAUCAAGCUAGCGUCAUGUAGUCCUCCAAAGGUUGAAUCCCAGGAGAAUCAAGCUAGCAUCAUGUAGUCCUCCAAAGGUUGAAUCCCAGGAGAAUCAAGCUAGCAUCAUGUAGUCAUCCAAAGGUUGAAUCCAAGGAGAAUCAAGCUAGCAUCAUGUAGUCAUCCAAAGGUUGAAUCUCAGGAGAAUCAAGCUAGCAUCAUGUAGUCAUCCAAAGGUUGAAUCCCAGGAGAAUCAAGCUAGCAUCAUGUAGUCAUCCAAAGGUUGAAUCUCAGGAGAAUCAAGCUAGCAUCAUGUAGUCAUCCAAAGGUUGAAUCUCAGGAGAAUCAAG